AUACCUACCUGGCAGGGGAGAUACCAUGAUCACGAAGGUGGUUUUCCCAGGGCGAGGCUUAUCCAUUGCACUCUGGAUGUGCUGACCCCUGCAAUUUCCCCAAAUGUGGGAAACUCGGCUGCAUAAUUUGUGGUAGUGGGGGACUGCGUUUGUGCUUUA
This 159-nucleotide small nuclear RNA is filed under the name Cebus imitator (Panamanian white-faced capuchin). RNAcentral describes it as "U1 spliceosomal RNA (ENSCCAG00000009093.1)". It matches the Rfam family "U1 spliceosomal RNA". Rfam says of the family: U1 is a small nuclear RNA (snRNA) component of the spliceosome (involved in pre-mRNA splicing). Its 5' end forms complementary base pairs with the 5' splice junction, thus defining the 5' donor site of an intron. There are significant differences in sequence and secondary structure between metazoan and yeast U1 snRNAs, the latter being much longer (568 nucleotides as compared to 164 nucleotides in human). The record is from Rfam by way of RNAcentral. Lineage: Eukaryota; Metazoa; Chordata; Mammalia; Primates; Cebidae.